GGAGGUGUCUGCGUACCUGGUGGGCGCCCCCGCCUUCAAAGCGGGUGUGACGGGUGAUCCUCGUCAGGCGGGUUCGAUUCCCGUCCACCUCCGCCA
Molecule: transfer RNA, 96 nt
Filed under: Acidimicrobiales bacterium
Lineage: Bacteria; Bacillati; Actinomycetota; Acidimicrobiia; Acidimicrobiales
Description: tRNA-Sec
Rfam family: Selenocysteine transfer RNA
Source: RNAcentral